AUUAUUAUUUUUCAUUUAUUUUAUCGUUAUCAAGCAGAACAAAUUCCAAAGGAAAUUAAGAUAUUCCUGCUACAGUACCUCCCUCUCGGUUUAGACCACAUUAUGUCUUUACUACAUGAGGAGCAGCCUCCAAGUCUGCCUUCUCCUAUGGACCAGCUACAGGGUCAAUGGCUGGUGGGGAGUUUGACAGGGUGCUAAAUUGUAACACAGGUGUUACAGGGAAACACAAAACGCCCGUGGAGCAGAAGGGAAAAGGCUCUCUUGAUACCAAUAUUCAGUUUGAUUACAGACCAUAGAAAGCCUUACGAUCCUUUAGUUUUGGGGGAGUUUUUGGAGGAGUUGUCAAACAAGUUCACAUAAAGAUGGCUGAUUUGCGGCUGCCAAGCAUUCACGGUGACGUGACUUGUUGAUCCUCCGAUUCUGGAUCUUCCGAUCACAGGGAAUUAACCAGACAUCGCUCACCCCCUAACCGGCAACAUGAACUGGGAUUGGACACUCAGGAGACAGGUUA
RNAcentral lists this non-coding RNA (511 nucleotides) under Lepisosteus oculatus (spotted gar). Its description in RNAcentral is "Eukaryotic large subunit ribosomal RNA". It matches the Rfam family "Eukaryotic large subunit ribosomal RNA", at positions 2552 to 2985 of the family's 3401-position model. Lineage: Eukaryota; Metazoa; Chordata; Actinopteri; Semionotiformes; Lepisosteidae. The record is from Rfam by way of RNAcentral.